GUAAGGCCGCGGAACAGGUAAUGCCGGCCGCUGGCGGGCAUUCAUCCUGGCAAUCGGUGCCGGCCAGCGGCCGGCACUACCGGCGGU
RNAcentral lists this unclassified non-coding RNA (87 nucleotides) under Stenotrophomonas pavanii. RNAcentral's name for it is "microRNA mir-638". The record is from RNAcentral. Lineage: Bacteria; Pseudomonadati; Pseudomonadota; Gammaproteobacteria; Lysobacterales; Lysobacteraceae.